This is a non-coding RNA of Chaetomium sp. MPI-CAGE-AT-0009, 92 nucleotides long. The record is from the annotation of a GenBank genome assembly. Lineage: Eukaryota; Fungi; Ascomycota; Sordariomycetes; Sordariales; Chaetomiaceae.
GGGUGACUAGUCUAGUGGUCAGGACGCUUCGUUGUGGUUUCUCUACCAUAUGCGAGCCCGAAGAAACCCCGGUUCGAUUCCGGGGUCGCCCA